RNAcentral lists this long non-coding RNA (1038 nucleotides) under Oryctolagus cuniculus (rabbit). RNAcentral describes it as "lncRNA (ENSOCUG00000038824.1)". Lineage: Eukaryota; Metazoa; Chordata; Mammalia; Lagomorpha; Leporidae. The record is from RNAcentral.
AAGGAGUUGCUGAAAUACGCGCGUGUUGGCGUUGCCAGCAUAAAAAUUAAGGGCGAAGUCACAGCGACAGAUAAUGAGUGCUUUAUCAGGGAAACCGUGUUGGACAAUCUCAUUGCUCAGAAAGAAUUUUUCAAAAGGAGCCUCAGGGCUUUGUUCCUUGCACUGGACGGGCCCCAGAGCUCUGAGUGCUGCCGCCAGAACCUGGCCCAGCACACUCAGACAGCCUCCCGGAAUAAAGGAGCAGCCUGCCAUCAUCACAGAGCCUCUUCUCUGUGCCCUGCCAAGCCGGGUGUGUGGAGACAGCGCUUAGAUCAAGUACUGACAGUACUGCUUUUACUCAAAGGGCUAAGAGUCUUUUCUUUUGAUGCUCAGACUGCCUGUGGAGGGAAUGCAGGAAUUUCUCUCUGCGUUUUGAAAGAAUGGCUCCCCGUAAGUGAGGGUGUUCUGUACGCUAUUAGUUUCCUUGCCGCUAACGUGUUUGAGAAACACAUCUUAUGUGUCUGCUUUCAGAAAGGAAGUGUGCUCAUGACAGCUUUUGUAGGUGAUUUUAGUGUUGAGAGAGGGCUUUUACACGGACUGUUCUCUCUGCUGCCACAGCCUUGGGCUUCUGUAGGCAGAACACAAGUCGUGAUUCCCAUUGUGCAGGUGAAGGAACAGAUUCGGGAAGGCUGUGGGUUGGGCUUCCAUCCCACAGGUGGUAAGCUCCGGAACCACAUCUGCCUUGGAGUCUUCCGACCCCAACAGAGCAGCAGACGCUGCCCGGCUCUUCCCCGCUGCCGCCCCUCGGGUCCAGGUACGCCUGGACUCUGUGAUGUAUCUCGUCCAGACAGCUUUCAGUCUAACUCCAGUGAUUACCAACUCAUGGAGCCUCACAUGUGCUGGAGAAACUUCAUCCCUCAAGGCACCCUCCGUGGCCCCAGGGCAGGGAUGGGCUUGGAGGGGAAGCCUGGAGCAGGGAACUCAGUCCUUGUCACCCAUAUGGUCUCAGGAACCCAGACAACUGAGUCACCACCUGCUACCUCCCAGAGUCUGCAUUAA